Oryctolagus cuniculus (rabbit) is the source of this 582-nucleotide non-coding RNA. The record is from RefSeq and is a predicted model, not a curated record. Lineage: Eukaryota; Metazoa; Chordata; Mammalia; Lagomorpha; Leporidae.
GGCUGCUUGCCUCAGGCCUGCUUUCACCUGACUCCCGGGGUCUGUGUGUUGACUCUGCGCCUCUUGCCCCCACCACGCUCCUCCUCCAAGAAACGAAUCCACUGCAACACUGUAUUAUAUAUAAUCUAGAGGUCAUUUAAAGCAUGAGAGAUUUCUACUCAAGAUUUUAGGGAACACAUAACAGCUUUUUCCAUGCCCACUAUAGAAGCCACUUUGCUUGUCAAAGGAACAUUGGGCAUAAUUCUUCAAAUUGGGGGAACAAGUAAGUUUGACUCCAAGCUGCAGGGAGAUAAUAUGAGGAUGACAAGAAAAAUGUAAACAAAGAAUGGAGAUGUUGUGCAGAGAGAGCAGCAAGAGGAGGCUGGAGUGUGAUGUUCUGAGAAAUAAUUCUGGAGAAGGAAGUGUGGACCCUUUCCUGUUGCCAGGAGACCACCUGAACCUCCAUUACUGCUACAAAGAAACUCAAGACCUCUGGACAACACAAAGCUGUGAAUGGUGUUUUACUAUUACUGUACCACAGGAUGAUAAACACUGCUUUUAUGCCAUGAGCUUGUUCUUUCUGCAAUUCAUUAAAGAAGUCUG